RNAcentral lists this non-coding RNA (27 nucleotides) under Bombyx mori (domestic silkworm). Lineage: Eukaryota; Metazoa; Arthropoda; Insecta; Lepidoptera; Bombycidae. The record is from RNAcentral.
UCCCGGAUUAAUGUGCAGACCGUAGGC